RNAcentral lists this ribosomal RNA (468 nucleotides) under uncultured bacterium. Its description in RNAcentral is "partial 16S ribosomal RNA". It matches the Rfam family "Bacterial small subunit ribosomal RNA", at positions 28 to 507 of the family's 1533-position model. The record is from RNAcentral.
GACGAACGCUGGCGGCGUGCUUAACACAUGCAAGUCGAACGGAAAGGCCCUGCUUUUGUUGGGUGCUCGAGUGGCGAACGGGUGAGUAACACGUGAGUAACCUGCCCUUGACUUUGUGAUAACUUCAGGAAACUGGGGCUAAUACCGGAUAGGAUCUCCUGCUGCAUGGUGGUGGUUGGAAAGUUUCGGCGGUUGGGGAUGGUCUCGCGGGUUAUCAGCUUGUUUGUGGGGUAGUGGCUUACCAAGGGUUUGACGGGUAGCCGGCAUGAGAGGGUGAACGGCGACCUUGGGACUGCGAUAGGCAGCAGACUCCAACGGGCGGCAGAAGUGGAGAGUCUUGCGCAAUGGGCGGACGCCUGAUGCAGAAGUGCUGCGUGCGGGAAGACCGCUUUCGAGUUGUGAACCGAUUUCGCAUGUGACGAACAGUGCGUGACGGUAAUGGGUAAGGAAGCACCGGCUAACUACGUG